Molecule: ribosomal RNA, 253 nt
Filed under: uncultured bacterium
Lineage: Bacteria
Also listed under: 1 other name
Description: partial 16S ribosomal RNA
Rfam family: Bacterial small subunit ribosomal RNA
Source: RNAcentral
UACGUAGGAUGCAAGCGUUGUCCGGAAUUAUUGGGCGUAAAGAGUUCGUAGGUGGUUAUCUAAGUCUGGUGUUAAAGCCCGGAGCUCAACUUCGGCAUGGCAUCGGAAACUGGAUGGCUAGAGUGUGGAAGAGGUAACUGGAAUUCCUGGUGUAGCGGUGAAAUGCGCAGAUAUCAGGAGGAACACCUGUGGCGAAAGCGAGUUACUGGUCCAUUACUGACACUGAGGAACGAAAGCCAGGGUAGCAAAAGGG